RNAcentral lists this small nuclear RNA (81 nucleotides) under Panthera tigris altaica (Amur tiger). Its description in RNAcentral is "U4 spliceosomal RNA (ENSPTIG00000002087.1)". The stretch from base 1 to 69 matches the Rfam family "U4 spliceosomal RNA". Rfam says of the family: U4 small nuclear RNA (U4 snRNA) is a component of the major U2-dependent spliceosome. Lineage: Eukaryota; Metazoa; Chordata; Mammalia; Carnivora; Felidae. The record is from RNAcentral.
AGCUUUGCGCAGUGGCAGUAUCGUAGCCAAUGAGGUUUAUCCGAGGCGCGAUUAUUGCUAAUAGAGAAAGGUUUAUUUGUC